This 497-nucleotide ribosomal RNA is filed under the name uncultured bacterium. RNAcentral's name for it is "partial 16S ribosomal RNA". It matches the Rfam family "Bacterial small subunit ribosomal RNA", at positions 28 to 507 of the family's 1533-position model. The record is from RNAcentral.
GAUGAACGCUGGCGGCGUGCCUAAUACAUGCAAGUCAAGCGAACAGACGAGGAGCUUGCUCCUCUGACGUUAGCGGCGGACGGGUGAGUAACACGUGGAUAACCUACCUAUAAGACUGGGAUAACUUCGGGAAACCGGAGCUAAUACCGGAUAAUAUAUUGAACCGCAUGGUUCAAUAGUGAAAGACGGUUUUGCUGUCACUUAUAGAUGGAUCCGCGCCGCAUUAGCUAGUUGGUAAGGUAACGGCUUACCGAGGCAACGAUGCGUAGCCGACCUGAGAGGGUGAUCGGCCACACUGGAACUGAGACACGGUCCAGACUCCUACGGGAGGCAGCAGUAGGGAAUCUUCCGCAAUGGGCGAAAGCCUGACGGAGCAACGCCGCGUGAGUGAUGAAGGUCUUCGGAUCGUAAAACUCUGUUAUUAGGGAAGAACAAAUGUGUAAGUAACUAUGCACGUCUUGACGGUACCUAAUCAGAAAGCCACGGCUAACUACGUG